This 2068-nucleotide long non-coding RNA is filed under the name Theobroma cacao (cacao). RNAcentral's name for it is "long non-coding RNA (TCAC_LNC002347)". Lineage: Eukaryota; Viridiplantae; Streptophyta; Magnoliopsida; Malvales; Malvaceae. The record is from RNAcentral.
AAAUAAGAACCCUAGCUGAAAAAUUUGAGAAAAAUCAAGAGAAAUCAAGAAAUCAAGCAUUAAAAAGGUAAAUUUCAUUGAUUUUCCUUGUGAUUUUCACUACCCAUGCAUUUUUUUCUCAUUUCCAUGCAAAAUUAGAAAGUGGGUAUGGACACCCAUGCUGGCCAAACCUCCAUGGAUGAGUUUUGAGCUUGAGUUUUGGUUGAUUUUAAUUGAAUUAAGUGAUUUUAGUUAGGUUAUAUUGAAAUAUAGCAAAAAUAAGCUAGAGAAAUAAUUUUCUCCCAUUGAAACCCAUUAUGCCGAAUUUUCUAGGGGAAUAUUGGCUGCUGAUCUUGAUGUUUAUUUGAGGAAUUAUGAUGAAUAAUGAUGAAUUAUGAGCCUAGAAAAAUAAUGGGAAUUUUCGGAGCAAAAAUAUGAAUUUUUACCCACUAGGGGUAUUUUCGUAAUUUGCUAUCGGGACUGAUAAUUUGCACCACACUGAGGGACAUUAAGUCAAUUUGGGUGCAAUUGAGGUAUAGAAACUGAAAAGAAUUAAUUUGGAGUUUAAACGGACGCGUAUAUCGAUUUAUCGGGUAAAAGACCGAAAUAGGCUAACAUCGCGUUUAGGCAAAAUUUAGACAUUUUGCACUUCAUAUCAUGCAUUAGUAGUAUAAAUUAUUUUAUUUUGGUUUAGUACCAAAGUAGUAAACCUCUUAAUUGUGCAAUUUGUCAAGGUGGCGAUUCCUCUGGCAAGGGCAAAGAAAUCGCACCAGAGGAGUAAUAGUUGGAGUACCCGAAUUUAGUUUUCGAAAACUGUGAGUAAACUUAUUAUCGUCUUAAUUAUCUAGAGUAGUUUUAUACAAUUGUGUGAUUUUAUAGAAAAUGGGUUUAAAUGGUAAAUUGCUAUGUUUUAGGAGAAAUUGUGGUUUUAUAAAAUGAUUUUAUAAAUUUUCUAGAAAAUUGAAUACUGGUUUUGAAAAUAGAGUAAUUGGAGACUGCCUGCUUGUAAUAUAAAUUGUGUCUUAAAUUAUAUGGCUUAUAGAAAUAUGUGAGCAUGAAUGGCAAAGUUGGUAUUUGUAUCAAAAUUAUAUAUAUACUAUGUAUUCAGCUUUGAGAGGCUAGAUUGCGAUAAAUUGCCAUGUCAUGCAGAUAAAGAUUUUAUAAAUCAGGUGGUAGAUAAAAUAAAGAUUAGCUACUGCAGUGGUGGGGUUCCGUGGACCAGCCUAUUAGAGGGGCACGGUAAACUCCUUUAUAUUCUCACAUCGAUCGUAGAGGCGCAUAGGGUAUCUCCUGAGGUGGGCUUUUUGAGUGCACUUCACGUGGACCACCGCGUGAGAGUGAGACUCAGCCAACGCCAAGGCAUUGCUAGAAUUUCAGAUGUAAAGGCAUUUAACAGCCUUGGUGGUCUCGAUCAGAUGCCUAGGCCAAGGCAUCCUCGGGAAUGAUUUUGGCAGUAGCCAAGUUUUGUGAGAUAUAUAAGCCAUGUUGAUUAAUUGAGUAAACUGAAUAUUCAUGUUAUGAAACAUAUAUUGGAAAAUAAUAUUUUAAUUCGUCUCCAUUGACUCGUCUUUAAAUAGUUUAGAUGGUGUCUGUUUACUCACUGAGAUUAUGUAAUCUCACCCCUCUUCCUAUCCAUUUUUCAGGCUCAGGACAGUUUGUUGAUAGUUGAUUAAGAUGACAAUUAAUCUCGGAAUUGCAUCCUAUAAAGUAAGGGUUCAUAGCCCUACACCUUCUUGGUCAGUUAGGGGCCCACGUGUCACUGUAAAAGUAAUUUUAUACUUCAGUUAUCUGAUUUAAAGUAUGUAUGAACAUAUUUAUCUUUUACACCAUGUUUUUGGUAAGUUUCGGUAUUUUUGAAGAAAAAUGACAAAAAUGCCCCUGUGAGCCAAAAAAUGAUAUUUUAUUGUUUUGAUUUGGAAACAACUAUUGAUUUCUUCAAGUGCGAGAUUUGAUAACUAUUGCUCACCGGGGAAGUGCGAAAGCUGAUACAAGAGCCUUGCGAGGUUUCGAUCGGCAUUCGGGGUGAAGAAUGUUUGUCGAGGCUUCGCGGCGGUUAUCACGGGCUCGAUGAGAGUUUCAGGUCAUGACA